GCGGAGGAAAAGAAACCAACAGGGAUUGCCCUAGUAACGGCGAGUGAAGCGGCAACAGCUCAAAUUUGAAAUCUGGCGUCUUUGGCGUCCGAGUUGUAAUUUGCAGAGGGCGCUUUGGCAUUGGCAGCGGUCCAAGUUCCUUGGAACAGGACGUCACAGAGGGUGAGAAUCCCGUACGUGGUCGCUAGCCUUUACCGUGUAAAGCCCCUUCGACGAGUCGAGUUGUUUGGGAAUGCAGCUCUAAAUGGGAGGUAAAUUUCUUCUAAAGCUAAAUACUGGCCAGAGACCGAUAGCGCACAAGUAGAGUGAUCGAAAGAUGAAAAGCACUUUGGAAAGAGAGUUAAAAAGCACGUGAAAUUGUUGAAAGGGAAGCGCUUGCAGCCAGACUUGCCUGUAGUUGCUCAUCCGGGUUUCUACCCGGUGCACUCUUCUACGGGCAGGCCAGCAUCAGUUUGGGCGGUUGGAUAAAGGUCUCUGUCAUGUACCUCCCUUCGGGGAGAUCUUAUAGGGGAGACGACAUGCAACCAGCCUGGACUGAGGUCCGCGCAUCUGCUAGGAUGCUGGCGUAAUGGCUGUAAGCGGCCCGUCUUGAA
Molecule: ribosomal RNA, 593 nt
Filed under: Epicoccum nigrum
Lineage: Eukaryota; Fungi; Ascomycota; Dothideomycetes; Pleosporales; Didymellaceae
Description: partial large subunit ribosomal RNA
Rfam family: Eukaryotic large subunit ribosomal RNA
Source: RNAcentral